GAUGAACGCUGGCGGCGUGCCUAAUACAUGCAAGUCGAGCGAACAGAUAAGGAUCUUGCUCCUUUUACGUUAGCGGCGGACGGGUGAGGAAUACGUGUGUAACCGACCGAUAAGACUGGAAUAAGUCCGGGAAACCGGGUCUAAUGCCGGAUAACAUUUAGAACCGCAGGGUUCUAAAGUGAAAGAGGUAUUUGCUAUCACUUAUAGAUGGACCCGCGCCGUAUUAGCUAGUUGGUAAGGUAACGGCUUACCAAGGCAACGAUCCGUAGCCGACCUGAGAGGGUGAUCGGCCACACUGGAACUGAGACACGGUCCAGACUCCUACGGGAGGCAGCAGUAGGGAAUCUUCCGCAAUGGGCGAAAGCCUGACGGAGCAACGCCGCGUGAGUGAUGAAGGUCUUCGGAUCGUAAAACUCUGUUAGUAGGGAAGAACAAAUGUGUAAGUAACUGUGCACGUUUUGACGGUACCUACUGAGAAAGCACCGGCUAACUACGUG
Molecule: ribosomal RNA, 497 nt
Filed under: uncultured bacterium
Lineage: Bacteria
Description: partial 16S ribosomal RNA
Rfam family: Bacterial small subunit ribosomal RNA
Source: RNAcentral